AGCAUAAUCUUUGGGUUCCAGAUAAGAAUUUGAAAUUAAGACAAUCUGAUCAACCUGAUCUGAGUGGGUAGACCACGAAAGAGGAUCAGACUCCAGUCUGAGGAGAUGGACAACACAGUAACGAGACUUCAAAACCUAACCUUGAAAACCAGGAGGAGAAAGAGGAAAACACCAUCCAGCAGGACUCUAGGGACGGUGAAACAGUUUCAGAAGAUAGGAAGGCAAGCCACGUUGAUGUUAAUUAAAAAACAUCACAAGAACAGCUGUAUUUGUUGAGAGCCUGUACAGGUGUGUGGCUUCCUGUUAACCUGACAAGACUAUGGCAGGAAUCUCCAGCCCUGUCGAUCUUACAACUGCUACCAGAUAGAAUAUUGAAGAGAAGCAAGAGGUUCCUCGGAUUGUUGACUGCUGCCAUCUUGGGGAUCAUCACUGUAACUGCAACUGCCGCAACUGCUGGCAUGGCCCUUACCCAAGGAAUUAAAACUCAGAAUGCCGUUGCUAAUUGGCAUAAAAAUUCUGAACAAUUAUGGAUUUCUCAAAAACAAAUUGAUACCAAAUUGUAUAAUGAAAAUUCUGACCUCAAACAAUCUUGUAAUGUUGGGUGAUGAAUUGAUUAGCCUGAAAAAACAGGUUAGAUUGGAAUGUGGUUGGAAUAUGACUACAUUUUGUAUUACACCUGUUAUGUAUAAUGAAACAGAAUUCCCUUGGGAUAAAGUUAAAAAACAUUGUUAAAUCAUGAAAAUUUGACUGAAGAAAUUGUAACUUUACAGCAUAAAGUGUAUUCCACUUUUCAGAACAAAUUACAGAAGAUUGACAGUGAUCAGGUAUGGAAGGAGAUUGCAGAUGGUAUUGAGCAAAUUAAUCCUAUGACUAAGAUUCAAGGUUUAAUUGGUAGUUCUAUUGAAUCAUUUGCUUUGUUUUUAAUAUUAGCUUUGAUUUUGUAUAUUAUUUGUAGAAGAGUUAAUCAGACGCAAGAAGAGAAUAGGAGACAUACUGUUGUUUUUGCUUUAAUGAUGACAGAUAUGAAUGCCUCAUGUCAGAAAAAAGAAAGGGGAAAUGUGGGAUAAAAUCCCACAUGCUGUGUGCUCACUUUAAAUUUCAGUAACAGGCAAAUAGGCUUUUGUGGAAUGUAGCUCUGUUGAAGACCUGGCUGCCUUGGUCAGCAUGACAGGGCCUGAAGGUCUGGAGGUAAAAGUCCACCUUCAGCAACUCUGAUCUAUGUGGCCAUUAAGCCUGCAAGGAAAGGGGUUGACAGCCCUUCCUGCAGAGACACGGCCCAGAGGUUGAUGUAUGUGAAAAUGUACAUUGUAAAGCUGCAUGGCCUCCAGACUGCAGAUAACAAAAGCCAUAAACCUGUUUUCUGCAAUAUAAUGAGUGCAUGGUAAAACUCAAGGUCUUACUCCCUUUUUGGUUAUCUUGAGUUUUCAGUCUUACUCCCUUUUUAGUAAUCUCGAGUUUCCAGACUGUGUCUUCUUUGAAGGUUGAAAUAAAUUUAGAAAAUAUUAAUGGUAAGAAUGCUUUGAUUGUUGAUCAGUGGCAUGUACGUGACCAACCUGCUAUAUAAGGUGGUCAGAAAUAAAGAUCAUUGCUACUUGCCAUCA
Molecule: long non-coding RNA, 1601 nt
Organism: Otolemur garnettii (small-eared galago)
Lineage: Eukaryota; Metazoa; Chordata; Mammalia; Primates; Galagidae
Exons: 2
Source: RefSeq, a predicted model, not a curated record